Molecule: non-coding RNA, 91 nt
Organism: Mycena olivaceomarginata
Lineage: Eukaryota; Fungi; Basidiomycota; Agaricomycetes; Agaricales; Mycenaceae
Source: the annotation of a GenBank genome assembly
UCUUGACUAGUAUAUCGGUUAGUACACGCGCUUGUCAUGCAGUAGGCGGCGAGAUCCGCGCGAAAGCUGGGUUCGACUCCCAGGUCGAGAG